UUUUUGGGGUUUUUUUUUUUUUUGGCAACCCGAGGUGACUGGGAACACAGGUGGAGCCCACUCACAGGCCCUCAGUGGUUGUAGGCCACGCCUCCCUCUGGCCUCUGAGAUACCACUGCAGUCUGCCCCUGCUGCCUAUAGAUCACGUGAGAGGCACCACAUCACACUUAGCCCCCGCACUGCCCUUAGCCCACACAAGAGGUGCCCAGCCACCCGUAGCCGGCACAAGAAGUACCCAGUCUCCCGUAGUCAAGCAAGUGGCUUCUCGCCACCCAUAGCCUGUUCCAGAGGCAUCCUGCCCUCUGAGAGCCCAUGAGCUUGUGCACAGGGAGAUUCCUAUGGCAGUCCGCCCUUCCUCCUCUCGCCCUCCCCAACAAUGGCACCUUGCUUCUCCAACAGGCUCAGACCUUCUCCUGGAUUCCCUCUGCCAUGGCAUUACACUCCCCAGCCCAUAGCAUACCACUCCUUAGCCUUUCAGGAAUCCCCACACAGCCAGCCCUAGUCCUCCCCUUGAAACUGACCUCUGGAGCCUCAGUCUCAGUGCCCAGCCCCCACCCAAGCAUCUUAGGCUGUAGGUCCAGGGCGGUGGUGCAGUUGAUCUGUGCGGCUCUCACUCAACUUUGCCCUCCUCAGCCCAGCUACUGCACUUUUCUCAGCAACUUUGAGGUCCCUCCAUCUCGGCUGAUCUCCCUGUCAGUUAGGUGGGUUCCGUUUCUCCUUCUCAGCUCCCUCUCAGGAAUGCUAGUCCCAUCUCAAUUCCUUUUCACUCUCUCUUUUUUUUCCACUUUUGUUCUACCCAGUUACAUAAAGAGUUUCUUUCCUUUUUUGGAGGUUUAAGUUCUUCUGCCAGCAUUCAGUAGAUGUUCUGUGUGAGUCAUUUUACAUGUAGACGUGGUUUUUUUAUGUGUUUGUGGGAGAAGAUGAGUGUGACCUCUUACUCCUCUGCCAUCUUGAUCCCCCCGAUCUGUCUCCAUCCUUAUUCCAAAAGGUCUGAGGCUUACAAAAUAUAUUAAAUAGUGCCAUCAUAAAAAAAAUAGAUUGUACACCUAUUUAUCUUUUCCUUUAUAUUCUCUUUUGGUUUAAAUUUAAUAAGAACUGUGCAUUUCUGGAACAUUAUAUUUGCCAACUGAACCAACAAAUAUGAUUGCCUUCUCUUUUGAAAAUGGUAUGACCCUAAUUAGAGGGAAAGAGAAGAAUCAAACAGUGAAAAAGAUGACUCACAGAACUGUACCUCUGGAAGAAAAAAUACAGAUUAGUGAUGACUUAUACUAUUUUCCUAGCUCUCAAUACAAUAUACUUCCCACAAGAUCAAGGUGUUUAGUAAACCAGAACAACUAACUGUACAGAGGAAAUGUGUUUUUAAUAGGUCUCAAAUUUCUGCAAAAUUAUUUGCAAAGAUGCUUAAUUAUUGUUUGUGAAACCAAUAUGCUUCCAGAGUUCUGAACUCUUCCAUUUCUCAAUUUUGUUCAUCUUUUUUCUGUUUACUUUAACAGCCUACUUUACUUCAAUAUGCAUAAAUAUUUCUGAAUCUCAAACUUAAAGAGCAUAUAACAGAUUCCCUGAACCUUUCUUGGAAAGACAUUAAUGAAAAAUAGAAUGUCAGUUUAAUAUAAUUCAUCACUAUUCACCCCAAAUCCUCCCUGAUGGAUUCCCAUGAGUAAGCUGUCAUGCACAUUUACACAUUUUUUGUUUAAUCUGCUCACCUAACCUUUAAAGAACUUAAUUAAGUACUUCUAAAAAUAAUAGCAUAUAGUUCACAGAAAUAGAGUUUUCUAUUAAAAGAUACCAAAACAAAUGGAUAAGAACUUGCAUAGUUGUAAAGAAAGACAAAGUGAGGAUGUCAGCUAAAGGGAGAUAAAAAUGAAAAGAAAAUUACUGUGUCAUCAAAAAGAUAAUGAAGUUUAAAAGAAAUAAAAAAGAUAAGACAUUUUGUAGGAUGUAUAAAACAGUUUGACUAGAGACAAUAAAAAAGAAAGAAACUUUGGUGAAGGAAAUGUCACUAAUUAGAUAUUGUUAAAGCUGAAAAGAACAUUUUAUUUUAUGCUUUUAUAGGCUAACAAACAAAAAAAAAAGGGGCACUUAAGCAAGCAGUAUCUGUUUUUUCCACAGAUCACGGUACAGAUUGUAUGACAUUAUCUCUUUAGGAAUACAACCUAAUCAUGUGGUGCUAUGACACCAUGAGGCAAUGUGAAAAUACAUUUUGGAAAAGACUUUGAACUUGUGUGCCAUAUACAGAAGGAAGCAAAUGCAUUUUUAAAACCCUGGAAAGAAUUAAAAGAAAACUGCUAGGAUAUAUGCCUUUGAAAGUAAUUUACAAAGAAACAAAAUAAAGUUCUAUCCCAAAAACUCCAAUCUAAGAUGAGUCUCAUCAUCCACUAAAGUUAAAAAUACAAACCAUCAUAAACAUAUCACUAUAUAUUUUCAAAAUAAUAUCUUAUACUUCAAACAAGUGUAAUAACAAGUAAUAGUGAGAUACUUUUGUCUUAGACUGACCAAGGCAAAAAUAUUGCCAAUAUCUACAGUAGACAAGUGUGAGGACAACAGGUACUCUAAGGCAGAGUUGGUGAAAGAGCAAAAUAUGAACAUCUUUGUCAAGAACAACAUGAUGACAGGCAUGAAGUGUUAAAUGUAAAUAUUCUUUGAUCAACAACCUUGUUCUUAGGAGUUCAUUCUAAAUAGAGAUUAUAUUAUGGAUAGAGCUAUAUUCAGAGCAGUGUUGUUUAUAAUAGCAAAAAAAAUCUUAAAUGUUUCAUUACUGAAAUUAAACUUCAUUAAUUGGGAUAGUUGGCAUCCUUUAACAAAGUAGAUGCCUUAUUCAUUGACAUAUCCCUGGAGAUAUUUUUAAGAAAAAUAAAACACUCUCUCUCUUUCUCUCUCUCUCUCUCUAUAUAUAUACAUACACACACACACACACACACACAUGUUUACAUAUAUAUAUAUAUGUUUAUAGGCAUGAGUGUGUGAAAUUUUUUUCUUCCUUUUUAUACCUUUUGCUAUUAUUUCAAUUUUCUAUAAUGAGCACACAUUUACCUUUCUAUAGAUAGAAUAAAAAAUAAAAAGAAACCAAAUAUCAUAUUGGACAUAUGGAAUCAAGAAGCAGAGAGGUAAAAUGACUUGCUCCAAGUCUCACAGCUAGUUAACAACAGAACUAGUACUAAAGCUCAGAUUACUGAGCUUAACCAGUAUCCACGGUAUGAAAAAAAAGGCUUGGGUUUAUUCCCUAUUUACAUGCAUUAAUAUGCAGGAUUAUAUUGAACAUAAUACUCUUCCAUUUGAAAAACAGCUAAGAAAAAAGUUAAAAGAGUCAAAUAACCAUAAUAUAAAUCCUAGAGAUCUCUAUGAAUGGAACUUUGUAUUUUUUGGCAUGAUGAUUACAGAGUUCACUUUUUGUGCCUAUUAUAUUAGCAAAACUUCACAUCUAUAUAUGAUAUUAAGUUUUCAAUAAAAAGUAAAACAUAGAACAUUGGGACAUAUAUGUUUUGGG
Molecule: long non-coding RNA, 3484 nt
Filed under: Sus scrofa (pig)
Lineage: Eukaryota; Metazoa; Chordata; Mammalia; Artiodactyla; Suidae
Description: lncRNA (ENSSSCG00000056614.1)
Source: RNAcentral